UUGACAAUCUAGAUAGCAUUUUCGCGUAGUGCCAGAGUAAAUAGGUUAGAUUCUGUUGUACAUACAUUCGCAACGUAUCAAUCUCCCCCGUUUUAUGGCACUGUUGCCAUAUUUAUUGUUUCAAUUAACAAUGUAAAAAUCAUUCGAGAAAAUUGAUUGUAUCCAAACAGUAAAUUUACCCUCCGUCCCCUGUAUUAUACAUGUAUAUACACCAAAAUAUUUCAGCAGGGUAGCAGUUACAAGCACGGCAUAAUACCGAUACAGAAUUUCGGUAAUAUUCAGCGUCUGCUUCGCGCUGAAAUCUUGGUUAUGAACUUUUGACAAGACGCCACCCCUUCCCUGUCCUCCAUAACAUCUUGCUACACCACCCCCUAUAGCCUAGCACCCGCUCAUAAAUCAAGACGAUGGGCGAUGCCGAUGUAGCCGCCUUGGGGGUGGCUUUGCCGUUAGGUGCGACGAGGGGUACCAACAGCUAUAACCAAUCUAUAUCGUAUUAUAUAUACAGACUGAUAAGCGUAUCAAACUAUGACGCAAUUCACGGUAUUGGUAUCGAUCGAACGCCAAUCAAUAUCCCAUGGGAUAUUUUGCAACGGCUACGAGUCCUCAUCCCCUUGUGGCGUUAUCAAAAUUAUCAAAACAGUCAGAGUGCUCGAAUGCGAUCUAACACGAAAUCAUCCGACUGUUAUUAUCAUCAAAGAACUCGAGCCGCUCACAUGCGGACCCAGUCGAUGAUUACCAAAUUGAGUAUCUACAACAUUUUAUCUUACGAUCUAUAAUCGUAUGUGGAAUCCAAUCGACAAUUAAUGGCUGUAUGCUUGAACUAGCAUCAAACGGGGAUCCCUCGAAUGGAUCUCAGAGCGGAAUUGCGGCGACAUGAAAGAUUUUACCGGCAACCUAGAUCCUUCAGGCAAAAGGUAUUCAUUGACGUGGUUCGACAAGAUGAUCUCGGUAUAGGACAGUUAAAAAAAUCCACAUAUAUAUAUAUAUAUACAUACGACCCUCUGCCAGUGUAGACGUUGAGUCUAAAAAGGGAAGCGAAGAAGAGAGCCGAUGCCGCCGUUCAUUAAUUAAGCGAAGCGUGAGAUUUCUAGCCUCCUUCCAUUUCAUCCCCCGCUCCCUGCCAUCCCUUUGUCGAGCCGCUCAACCCUUACGAUCUUAGAUGCCGCCAAGAUCUACGAGACCCAAGGAGGACGAGGAGU
Molecule: long non-coding RNA, 1199 nt
Organism: Cephus cinctus (wheat stem sawfly)
Lineage: Eukaryota; Metazoa; Arthropoda; Insecta; Hymenoptera; Cephidae
Exons: 3
Source: RefSeq, a predicted model, not a curated record